CACGUAGGGCGCAAGCGUUGUCCGGAAUUAUUGGGCGUAAAGAGCGUGUAGGCGGCCCGGUAAGUCCGCUGUAAAAGUCAAAGGCUCAACCUUUGAAUGUCAGUGGAUACUGCCGGGCUAGAGUCCGGAAGAGGCGAGUGGAACUCCUGGUGUAGCGGUGGAAUGCGCAGAUAUCAGGAAGAACACCAACGGCGAAGGCAGCUCGCUGGGACGGUACUGACGCUGAGACGCGAAAGCGUGGGGAGCGAACAGG
RNAcentral lists this ribosomal RNA (253 nucleotides) under uncultured bacterium. Its description in RNAcentral is "partial 16S ribosomal RNA". It matches the Rfam family "Bacterial small subunit ribosomal RNA", at positions 524 to 776 of the family's 1533-position model. The record is from RNAcentral.